CUCCUCCAACUUACGGAGGCGGUAGCCCUCCUGAUAUUGUCACCCCAAGCCCUCCUGAUACCAUCACCCCAAGCCCACCAUCCAUCACUCCAGGCACCCCUACCAUUCCCACACCUCCAUUUGACCCAAAUUCUCCUGUCCCUGGUACCUGCACGUAAGUAUUUAUAUGUACUGUUGUGUAAUGACUAAAAAACCACAAUGGUUGCACACAGUUUUUAUCACAACUUGCACAUGUUAAUAGUUUCAUGCAUUUAUAUGUUUAUUCGCAGUUACUGGAGUUCUCACCCGGGAUUGAUAUGGGGUCUGCUGGGCUGGUGGGGUACAUUGGGCGGCAUAGGUGUGCCUAGUGUUCCUGGUUUUGGGUCAAGUACGAGCCUCCUGCAAGCUCUUUCCAACACUCACACUGAUGGAUUUGGAGCACUCUACAGAGAAGGAACUGCAUCCUGGCUCAACUCCGUGGCCAGCCAUAGAUUCCCUUUCACAACCAACCAAGUCCGGAACAGUUUUGUAGCAGCACUCCACUCAGACAAGGCAGCAGCAGCUCAAGCUCGGCUCUUCAAGCUUGCCAAUGAGGGCCACCUCAAGCCAAGAGU
RNAcentral lists this long non-coding RNA (593 nucleotides) under Citrus x clementina. Its description in RNAcentral is "Citrus clementina (C. clementina) long non-coding RNA (CCLE_LNC003535)". Lineage: Eukaryota; Viridiplantae; Streptophyta; Magnoliopsida; Sapindales; Rutaceae. The record is from RNAcentral.